GUUCGUCUUAGUUGGAAAAAAUAAUGGUAGUCAGUCCAUGCUUAUGUCUAUCUGUUGGUCAACAGUAGCAAAUGAUUGCGUUAGGCUAAACUUCUGUAAUUGAUGCGAGAAGAACCCCCUACACAUCUAGUCUGAUAUUCUGAUAUAGUCAAAUAGUUUGUUAGUUAGCCAGUGCAAUCUUUCAUUUCCUUAUUUUCAAUAAUCUUGCU
Molecule: long non-coding RNA, 209 nt
Filed under: Mytilus galloprovincialis (Mediterranean mussel)
Lineage: Eukaryota; Metazoa; Mollusca; Bivalvia; Mytilida; Mytilidae
Source: RNAcentral